RNAcentral lists this signal recognition particle RNA (148 nucleotides) under Pan paniscus (pygmy chimpanzee). RNAcentral's name for it is "Metazoan signal recognition particle RNA". It matches the Rfam family "Metazoan signal recognition particle RNA". Rfam says of the family: The signal recognition particle (SRP) is a universally conserved ribonucleoprotein. RNAcentral also lists the same sequence under 1 other name. The record is from Rfam by way of RNAcentral. Lineage: Eukaryota; Metazoa; Chordata; Mammalia; Primates; Hominidae.
GCCGGGCGUGAUGGCACAUGCCUGUAGUCCCAGCUACUCAGGAGGCUGAGGUAGGAGAAUUGCUUGAACCCGGGAGGCUGAGGUUGCAGUGAGCCGAGAUUGUGCCACUGCACUCCAGCCUGGGUGACAGAGCAAGACUCUAUCUCAA